RNAcentral lists this ribosomal RNA (844 nucleotides) under Sporidesmium gyrinomorphum. RNAcentral describes it as "LSU rRNA". It matches the Rfam family "Eukaryotic large subunit ribosomal RNA", at positions 59 to 922 of the family's 3401-position model. Lineage: Eukaryota; Fungi; Ascomycota; Sordariomycetes; Sporidesmiaceae. The record is from RNAcentral.
AAGAAACCAACAGGGAUUGCCCUAGUAACGGCGAGUGAAGCGGCAACAGCUCAAAUUUGAAAUCUGGCCUUCCGGGGCCCGAGUUGUAAUUUGUAGAGGAUGCUUUUGGUGCGGUGCCUUCCGAGUUCCCUGGAACGGGACGCCUUAGAGGGUGAGAGCCCCGUACGGUUGGACGCCUAGCCUCUGUAAAGCUCCUUCGACGAGUCGAGUAGUUUGGGAAUGCUGCUCUAAAUGGGAGGUAAAUUUCUUCUAAAGCUAAAUACCGGCCAGAGACCGAUAGCGCACAAGUAGAGUGAUCGAAAGAUGAAAAGCACUUUGAAAAGAGGGUUAAAUAGUACGUGAAAUUGUUGAAAGGGAAGCGCUCAUGACCAGACUUAGCUUAGGGGGAUCAUCCGGUGUUCUCACCGGUGCACUUCCCCUGGGUCUAGGCCAGCAUCGGUCUCUGUAGCGGGAUAAAAACGGUGGGAAUGUGGCUCCUACGGGAGUGUUAUAGCCCGCCGUAUAAUACCGCUACGGGGACUGAGGUUCGCGCUUCUGCAAGGAUGCUGGCGUAAUGGUCAUUAGCGACCCGUCUUGAAACACGGACCAAGGAGUCGAACAUUUGUGCGAGUGUUUGGGUGUCAAACCCUGACGCGUAAUGAAAGUGAACGGAGGUGAGAGCCUAAUCUUGUUGGGUGCAUCAUCGACCGAUCCUGAUGUCUUCGGAUGGAUUUGAGUAAGAGCAUAACUGUUCGGACCCGAAAGAUGGUGAACUAUGCGUGGAUAGGGUGAAGCCAGAGGAAACUCUGGUGGAGGCUCGCAGCGGUUCUGACGUGCAAAUCGAUCGUCAAAUCUGCGCAUGGGG